This 74-nucleotide transfer RNA is filed under the name Rhodospirillales bacterium. RNAcentral's name for it is "tRNA-Gln". It matches the Rfam family "tRNA". From Rfam's summary of the family: Transfer RNA (tRNA) molecules are approximately 80 nucleotides in length. Their secondary structure includes four short double-helical elements and three loops (D, anti-codon, and T loops). The record is from RNAcentral. Lineage: Bacteria; Pseudomonadati; Pseudomonadota; Alphaproteobacteria; Rhodospirillales.
UGGGGGAUAGUUUAGCGGUAGAACUGCCGGCUCUGGACCGGCCAGCCCUGGUUCGAAUCCAGGUCCCCCAGCCA